Molecule: ribosomal RNA, 487 nt
Filed under: uncultured bacterium
Lineage: Bacteria
Description: bacterial SSU rRNA
Rfam family: Bacterial small subunit ribosomal RNA
Source: RNAcentral
CAAGUCGAAGCGGUAUAUACUUUAUCAAAUCUUCGGAAGAGAGACGGUAUAGAGAGCGGCGGACGGGUGAGUAACGCGUAGGCAACCUGCCCCAUACAGAGGGAUAGCCUCGGGAAACCGGGAUUAAAACCUCAUAACGCCAAGAGUUCACAUGGACUUUUGGCCAAAGAUUUAUCGGUAUGGGAUGGGCCUGCGUCUGAUUAGCUAGUUGGUGGGGUAACGGCCUACCAAGGCAACGAUCAGUAGCCGACCUGAGAGGAUGAUCCGCCACACUGGGACUGAGACACGGCCCAGACUCCUACGGGAGGCAGCAGUGGGGAAUUUUGGACAAUGGGGGAAACCCUGAUCCAGCCAUGCCGCGUGAGUGAAGAAGGCCUUCGGGUUGUAAAGCUCUUUCGGCCGGGAAAAAAUUGCACGGAUGAACAGUCUGUGUAGAUGAUGGUACCGGACUAAGAAGCACCGGCUAACUACGUGCCAGCAGCCGCGG